GACGAACGCUGGCGGCGUGCUUAACACAUGCAAGUCGAACGGAAAGGCCCUGCUUUUGUGGGGUGCUCGAGUGGCGAACGGGUGAGUAACACGUGAGUAACCUGCCCUUGACUUUGGGAUAACUUCAGGAAACUGGGGCUAAUACCGGAUAGGAGCUCCUGCUGCAUGGUGGGGGUUGGAAAGUUUCGGCGGUUGGGGAUGGACUCGCGGCUUAUCAGCUUGUUGGUGGGGUAGUGGCUUACCAAGGCUUUGACGGGUAGCCGGCCUGAGAGGGUGACCGGCCACAUUGGGACUGAGAUACGGCCCAGACUCCUACGGGAGGCAGCAGUGGGGAAUAUUGCACAAUGGGCGGAAGCCUGAUGCAGCAACGCCGCGUGCGGGAUGACGGCCUUCGGGUUGUAAACCGCUUUCGCCUGUGACGAAGCAUGAGUGACGGUAAUGGGUAAAGAAGCACCGGCUAGCUACGUG
RNAcentral lists this ribosomal RNA (468 nucleotides) under uncultured bacterium. RNAcentral's name for it is "partial 16S ribosomal RNA". It matches the Rfam family "Bacterial small subunit ribosomal RNA", at positions 28 to 507 of the family's 1533-position model. The record is from RNAcentral.